GUGUAGAGUAUGUGUAUGUGUGUGUAGAAGGUGCACACAUGUAGCAGUGCUUGUAAAUGCCUGUUGUGUAUGUCUAUGUGUAUUUAUGUGCACGUGUGUGUUUGUGUAGUAGUGUGUACAUGUACACAGUGUGGUUAGAGUGUGUGUUUGUGAAUGUGUGUGUAACAGUGUGGGUACUGGCAUGUGCGAUAGCAGCAGUGUGUGUUUGUGUAGGUAACAUUGUGGAUAGCAGCAUGAAUGGGGGAAUGAGAAUGACAUUGAGAUAAACAAGGAGGGCAAACACAAAUUGAGACAAGCAGGAAUUUUAAUGAGAUGAGG
Pelobates cultripes (western spadefoot toad) is the source of this 318-nucleotide non-coding RNA. The record is from the annotation of a GenBank genome assembly. Lineage: Eukaryota; Metazoa; Chordata; Amphibia; Anura; Pelobatidae.